Oncorhynchus tshawytscha (Chinook salmon) is the source of this 583-nucleotide long non-coding RNA. NCBI's taxonomy places the organism in Eukaryota, Metazoa, Chordata, Actinopteri, Salmoniformes, Salmonidae. The record is from Ensembl.
ACGGUUUCAAAAUGUGAAUCAGCCAAUUUAAAUCGUUGAUUUGCUUGCAAGUGACAAAAUGCUAAAUUGUAGCUGAUCCCAUCAGAUAACAUGGCACGUGUUAGCCCUAUGCUAACCUCAGGUGGCAGUGAUUAUAUCCUGGAACAAAUUCUUCAUCAACACAUCAAAGAAGUUAGACUUUAUACCCACCAACCAAAGGCAUUUCUUAAAAUGGGUCAACCCUGGCUACUAGAGGGAUAUUUUAAACCUACAAAUUCAAUGUUUAAUCCUUUCCUAACAGUCAGGUCCUUUCCUAAUGGUCUCCUGUCAGGUCCUUUCCUAACGGUCUCCUGUCAGGUCCUUUCCUAAUGGUCUCCUGUCAGGUCCUUUCCUAAUGGUCUCCUGUCAGGUCCUUUCCUAAUGGUCUCCUGUCAGGUCCUUUCCUAACGGUCUCCUGUCAGGUCCUUUCCUAAUGGUCUCCUGUCAGGUCCUUUCCUAACGGUCUCCUGUCAGGUCCUUUCCUAACUGUCUCCUGUCAGGUCCUUUCCUAAUGGUCUCCUGUCAGGUCCUUUCCUAACAGUCAGGUCCUUUCCUAAUGGUCUCC